RNAcentral lists this long non-coding RNA (506 nucleotides) under Junco hyemalis (dark-eyed junco). RNAcentral's name for it is "lncRNA (ENSJHYG00000010265.1)". Lineage: Eukaryota; Metazoa; Chordata; Aves; Passeriformes; Passerellidae. The record is from RNAcentral.
AUGGAAAUGUGCAUUUUCCAUGGUGUGGAUGGCUGGGUGAGGGCAUCCAGACACCCCCAGAGGCAGAGCAGACCCUGCUGGAAUGGGGUGAUCUCUCCUGGGAAUCUCACAGCUUUACAUCCAGGCCAGAUGCCCCAGGAUCCUGACUUUGCCCCUGCCAGAGCAGCAUUCCCUUCCCAUCCCGUGUGGCUGCAGGGAGUGCCAGCAGUGCCAGCCUGUUGUCCUACUCCAGCAGGAUUAAAUCCUCCACUGGAAUGGCAGAAAAUGUCAUCCUGGACCCCAACAACUUCAACAGGAGAAAUGUCUGCUGGAUGCUGGUUCCCUCUCCUGCAGCACUGAGACAGAGUGGGUAUGUGACUGCUUGUACCUCAGCCUUGCAGGGCAAGGAAGAGAAAAUCCCUGGUUUUAAGCCAUGCUGGCACCUGACUCAAAGUUCUCAGAGGUCACCCGGGGUCCCUGGAUCAGACCUCUGUAAUAAGCAGCCGUUGUUUCCAGACAAAGCAAAA